GGCGGGGUAGCUCAGCUGGUUAGAGCAGAGGAAUCAUAAUCCUUGUGUCGGGGGUUCAAAUCCCUCCUCCGCUACCA
Molecule: transfer RNA, 77 nt
Filed under: Streptomyces purpurogeneiscleroticus
Lineage: Bacteria; Bacillati; Actinomycetota; Actinomycetes; Kitasatosporales; Streptomycetaceae
Also listed under: 36 other names
Description: tRNA-Met
Rfam family: tRNA
About the family: Transfer RNA (tRNA) molecules are approximately 80 nucleotides in length. Their secondary structure includes four short double-helical elements and three loops (D, anti-codon, and T loops).
Source: RNAcentral